Molecule: ribosomal RNA, 253 nt
Filed under: uncultured bacterium
Lineage: Bacteria
Description: partial 16S ribosomal RNA
Rfam family: Bacterial small subunit ribosomal RNA
Source: RNAcentral
UACGUAGGGUGCAAGCGUUGUCCGGAAUUAUUGGGCGUAAAGAGCUCGUAGGCGGUUUGUUGCGUCGGCUGUGAAAUCCCGAGGCUCAACCUCGGGUCUGCAGUCGAUACGAGCAAACUAGAGUGUUGCAGGGGAGACUGGAAUUCCUGGUGUAGCGGUGAAAUGCGCAGAUAUCAGGAGGAACACCUAUAGCGAAGGCAGCUUGCUGGGACGAUACUGACGCUGAGGAGCGAAAGCGUGGGGAGCGAACAGG